AGUGAACGCUGGCGGUAGGCCUAACACAUGCAAGUCGAACGGCAGCACAGUAAGAGCUUGCUCUUACGGGUGGCGAGUGGCGGACGGGUGAGGAAUACAUCGGAAUCUACUUUCUCGUGGGGGAUAACGUAGGGAAACUUACGCUAAUACCGCAUACGACCUACGGGUGAAAGCAGGGGAUCUUCGGACCUUGCGCGAUUAAUGAGCCGAUGUCGGAUUAGCUAGUUGGCGGGGUAAAGGCCCACCAAGGCGACGAUCCGUAGCUGGUCUGAGAGGAUGAUCAGCCACACUGGAACUGAGACACGGUCCAGACUCCUGCGGGAGGCAGCAGUGGGGAAUAUUGGACAAUGGGCGCAAGCCUGAUCCAGCCAUACCGCGUGGGUGAAGAAGGCCUUCGGGUUGUAAAGCCCUUUUGUUGGGAAAGAAAAGCAGCAGGUUAAUACCCCGCUGUUCUGACGGUACCCAAAGAAUAAGCACCGGCUAACUUCGUG
This 491-nucleotide ribosomal RNA is filed under the name uncultured bacterium. RNAcentral describes it as "partial 16S ribosomal RNA". It matches the Rfam family "Bacterial small subunit ribosomal RNA", at positions 29 to 507 of the family's 1533-position model. The record is from RNAcentral.